Pseudophryne corroboree (corroboree frog) is the source of this 1004-nucleotide long non-coding RNA. RefSeq lists it as uncharacterized. NCBI's taxonomy places the organism in Eukaryota, Metazoa, Chordata, Amphibia, Anura, Myobatrachidae. The record is from RefSeq and is a predicted model, not a curated record. The transcript is spliced from 3 exons.
AACUGCCACUGUUUGCAGGUGCUAGGAUCCGUCUGGUGGCUCGAGCUAUAGAUCUACUCCUCCCUCUCCUCCUCUUCGGACAAGGCAGCAUGGGCAGAGGCAGCCCCCCUCCUCCAAACAGGUGCAAGUGUGAUUAUACGCCACUGAUGUUAACAAUAUCCAGUGCUUUCUUCCAAUCACAGCAUAGCCCAGUAAAACAAAACUACUGUGUUAGAAUUUGUAGAAAUAAUUUAUCAAAUAGACAGAUGUUACUAUACAAGGAAACAAACUGUAGAAUGCAAGAACUUUGAUUCAAUGGGAAGUGUGAUACCAUACCAGCAAGCAGCUCUCUGCCCAACUGAAUACGUUUCUGCCCCAGCCACCACUUAAUAGCUGAUCAAUCUAAAAUUGGAGGGUAUUUGAAAUGAGACCCAAGUGAUACUGCAGCAAAAACUAAUGAGGAGGUGCAACCGCAAGACCAGUAAGGAGCAAAGGUGAUCAUUGAAUAAAUACAUGGAGGAAGACUGGGUAUCCACUGCGCAAACUGUAGAUCCAGCUCUUUCAGCCAACAGAAAUAACUACAUGAAUCCAUUGAUCCAUCGUUCAGGGUGUUAAAAAAGAUGGUUGAUGGUAGCAGUUUAAUUCUGUAUGGAGGAGUUUUUGCUCUACGCAUUGUAUCCCUUUAUAUAAGUAUUUCAAUGUUUGAAUGCCCUAGGAUAUCUAAACAUCAUUGCCAAGACUAGGAAAGACCUGGAAUGGUUUCAGGAACAUGGAAGUGAAAUCAGCUUAAUGUGGUAUCCUCCCACUCACCAGUCCUCAAUUCAAUGAAACAGCUGUGGAAAGAGAUGGAAUCAACUAUUCGGAGUAGUUAGUCAUCACCAACUAAUUUUUAAUAUAGUAGAAACACUGGGUCAACAUACAGUAGUCACUAUGUAAGUAUCUCUGUGCCGUAUUAAACACUUUAGUAAGUGGAGAAGCAAGUCAUUAUUAUAGCGUGUAUUAACUAUACACUAUAUGUUGGAUCA